CGGGGGCUGGGUGGCUCGUGCUUGUGGGUCGUCUACAAGCCUCCCUGGUAAGUGCUUUUACGGACUUUGUCCCUCGUCGUGGAGUGCAUGCCCUUCUGGAAGGGAAGCCGGAAGCGAUGAAACGAGGCCCACCUGCUGAGCUGCAGGGGGCCGGACGCUCCCCACACGGCCACAACGGCACCCCC
RNAcentral lists this non-coding RNA (185 nucleotides) under Deltaproteobacteria bacterium. RNAcentral's name for it is "6S RNA". It matches the Rfam family "6S / SsrS RNA". From Rfam's summary of the family: E. coli 6S RNA was the first non coding RNA to be sequenced, but its function was unknown until recently. The record is from RNAcentral. Lineage: Bacteria; Pseudomonadati; Myxococcota; Myxococcia.